Molecule: ribosomal RNA, 439 nt
Filed under: uncultured bacterium
Lineage: Bacteria
Description: partial 16S ribosomal RNA
Rfam family: Bacterial small subunit ribosomal RNA
Source: RNAcentral
CUACGAGAGGCAGCAGUGAGGAAUAUUGCACAAUGGGGGGAACCCUGAUGCAGCAACGCCGCGUGGAGGAUGACGCAUUUCGGUGUGUAAACUCCUUUUAUAUGUCAAGAAAAUGACGGUAGCAUAUGAAUAAGCACCGGCUAACUCCGUGCCAGCAGCCGCGGUAAUACGGAGGGUGCAAGCGUUACUCGGAAUCACUGGGCGUAAAGGACGCGUAGGCGGGUUGGAAAGUCAGGUGUGAAAUCCUACAGCUUAACUUUAGAACUGCACUUGAAACUUCUAAUCUAGAGUAUGGGAGGGGGAGAUGGAAUUAGUGGUGUAGGGGUAAAAUCCGUAGAUAUCACUAGGAAUACCUAAAGCGAAGGCGAUCUCCUGGAACAUUACUGACGCUAAGGCGUGAAAGCGUGGGGAGCAAACAGGAUUAGAUACCCCCGUAGUC